AGGCAGCAGUGGGGAAUUUUGGACAAUGGGCGCAAGCCUGAUCCAGCAAUGCCGCGUGCAGGAUGAAGGCCUUCGGGUUGUAAACUGCUUUUGUACGGAACGAAACGGCCUUUUUUAAUACAAAGGGCUAAUGACGGUACCGUAAGAAUAAGCACCGGCUAACUACGUGCCAGCAGCCGCGGUAAUACGUAGGGUGCGAGCGUUAAUCGGAAUUACUGGGCGUAAAGCGUGCGCAGGCGGUUAUGUAAGACAGAUGUGAAAUCCCCGGGCUCAACCUGGGACCUGCAUUUGUGACUGCAUAGCUAGAGUACGGUAGAGGGGGAUGGAAUUCCGCGUGUAGCAGUGAAAUGCGUAGAUAUGCGGAGGAACACCGAUGGCGAAGGCAAUCCCCUGGACCUGUACUGACGCUCAUGCACGAAAGCGUGGGGAGCAAACAGGAUUAGAUACCCUGGUAG
This 455-nucleotide ribosomal RNA is filed under the name uncultured bacterium. RNAcentral describes it as "bacterial SSU rRNA". It matches the Rfam family "Bacterial small subunit ribosomal RNA", at positions 346 to 793 of the family's 1533-position model. The record is from RNAcentral.